GUAUAAGAGACAGCAGUAGCCGCGGUAAUACAGAGGGUGCGAGCGUUAAUCGGAUUUACUGGGCGUAAAGCGUGCGUAGGCGGCUUUUUAAGUCGGAUGUGAAAUCCCUGAGCUUAACUUAGGAAUUGCAUUCGAUACUGGGAAGCUAGAGUAUGGGAGAGGAUGGUAGAAUUCCAGGUGUAGCGGUGAAAUGCGUAGAGAUCUGGAGGAAUACCGAUGGCGAAGGCAGCCAUCUGGCCUAAUACUGACGCUGAGGUACGAAAGCAUGGGGAGCAAACAGGAUUAGAUACCCCGGUAGUCCCUGUCUCUUAUAC
Molecule: ribosomal RNA, 314 nt
Filed under: uncultured bacterium
Lineage: Bacteria
Description: partial 16S ribosomal RNA
Rfam family: Bacterial small subunit ribosomal RNA
Source: RNAcentral